This is a long non-coding RNA of Mauremys reevesii (Reeves's turtle), 1441 nucleotides long. RefSeq lists it as uncharacterized. The transcript has 4 exons. The record is from RefSeq and is a predicted model, not a curated record. NCBI's taxonomy places the organism in Eukaryota, Metazoa, Chordata, Testudines, Geoemydidae.
UGAUAAGGGGGGAGGGGGGGAAAUGGAAGAAGUUAGUGAGAAAGAAGAACCAGGGAAUUGAGGAAGGUACAGAGAAGAAAGAGGGACGGGUAAUGGGUGAGCGGAGACACAUGGAAAAGGAGUUAGCAAAGAGGCUAGAAGAGAAGAGAAAGGAGAAGCAUGGAAAAAGUGGAUGGGGAUAAGUACCUGGACCGAUUUCUUUAGCAUCAGGUAGAAUCCCAAUUGCCUUUGUCAGGAUGUAACUACUAGGUGUUAAAAAUGCAGGUAUUUCUACAAUUUAAAAAAGAAAGGGUAGAAGUGACCAUAGCUGAGAGCUGGCAUCAGCUUGGUUCUUACCUUUCAAGAGCUUACAUUGCAAUUGGUCCUAUUUCUGUUGAUUUGAUCACUGCAGCUUGUCUGUCAGAAGUUCAUAUUGUACCAUUUAAGUACGAAGAAUGCACCUUCUCCUAGCAAUGGAGUGGAAAUUAACCAAUCUGAGCGUUUUCAGGUGAAGGAAGUGAAUCUAUCCUUUGCUGUCAAAGGCUACAAGCAGUUUCAUAAGAAUAAAGCAAGAUACAUAACCAAAGCUUCUGAGGUUACAGAAGUAUUGACUUGUUCCAAUCAAGAAGGAAACCACUUCUACCUACUAGAUUUUUAGCAGUACAGCUGAUUGUAUGGAGAGAAAGAGAGAAACCAAUCCAGCAAUUCAUCACGCAGAAGGAGGUCAUAUUUCGAGAUGCAAGGAUGACACAUGGCUGUCGUUUACAGGAAGGAAUUAGCGGAUCCAUCCUUUUAAGGAGAUGUCAAGAACAAAGUGGAACUAAUCAUUUCUAUCGAGAGGUAAGGAACGCACCUCCUCACAGCACGGGGACAGGACUUAAAGGCUCUGUUUCUAUUUUCAGGUGAAAGGAAGGUCUUACCAUUCAAGGGAGGAUGAUAAGAGCCUGCUGCAUUUAAGGAAAAAAGACAGGUAAGGAUACCUGGCCAGAGGAAAGAAAAGCAUCUUUUACUUUUACUUCUAGUUCAGAAAAAGGCAAGCAGCCAUUUAUAUUCUUCAGGUUUUACCCUGUGUAGCUGGCUGUACCGCUAAGAAUCAAAGCCUUGCGGUGGAACAUGACUGACAAGUAGGUGAGCACUGAAAGGUCUCUAGAAGCCUAAUGAUCUGGAUGCUAAGGAACCUUCUCCAUUGAUGACUCUUCAUAGCUGCUAAUGAGUAAUAAUAAAUAAUUCUGUCAAACAAUGAUUGCAGGUUUUGCUCUGAGAUAUGAACAGACCAGGUGGCCAUUCCUACCAGGGAGAAGUGAGGCUAAGUGGCGUGGCUAUCCCGGGCAAGGAGUUGAGAAAUACCAGUCUCCAAACAUCCAUGUGUACAUGAAGUGGUGUGGAUUUUGCUUUCAGGGAGAAAAACUGUGGAUGACCUUACUUGUCAUGGGGAAAGUGUCAAAAGCAGACUCAGGACAAA